Molecule: non-coding RNA, 30 nt
Filed under: Homo sapiens (human)
Lineage: Eukaryota; Metazoa; Chordata; Mammalia; Primates; Hominidae
Source: RNAcentral
UCCGGCUGGUGUCAAUAAUGCUUUGGGCUC